Oryza sativa Japonica Group (Japanese rice) is the source of this 1842-nucleotide non-coding RNA. NCBI's taxonomy places the organism in Eukaryota, Viridiplantae, Streptophyta, Magnoliopsida, Poales, Poaceae. The record is from RefSeq and is a predicted model, not a curated record.
UUUCAAUAUUUGCUCUUUAUUUUUCUUCAUUUUGAGAAAAAUAUUGUACUAAAUAGUCCACAUUUAAUUUGAGGAUUAAUGGAAAAAAACGUAUCAUUUCCCCUAUCCUUAAUAAACCGAUCUCUUCAUUCACGUUGAAGUGAAAGCGAAGAACUUCAUUCACGCCCUGGAUUCCGGAAUUGUAGAACUUCACAACAGGAUCAUUCCGUUCCUGUUAACUAAAAUACAAACACAAGUCCAUCAGCUACUUCAAAAAUGGUAUAAAUAAGAAACACAUUGAAUUAGAAUAGGAAAAAUAACCUUCCAGAUUGUCAAAUUAAGGAAGAGGAAACCACAUUAGACUACAAUAUUAAUAUUUGCACCUCGGCAUUUCUCGAUGCGUCCCAAUCCUAAUACCAUCUCCAUCGGUUCUCUUUGGCAUUGCAAAAUAAACCAUUUUUUUGAGCGAUCACAAAAUGAACUUGGAGGUUAACUUGUGCACACUAGAUAUUAAGAUUACACAUGUUCAUAUAUGCCAUUCUGUCCCAUCUCUACCUUCCCUCAUGUAAGCUCUGGAAUCCAUAGCAAGCACCUCGUCUCCCUUAUAAGCCAUACCUUUACAUGUGAACUUUGCAAUGUGACAGUGUCUAACUUACCACUUUGGGUAAUUGAUGAAUAGAACAGUCGUGAUUCCUGGCACAUAUAUGUUGGUUUAUUUUGCAGUACAAAUAUAGUAGAGAUAAAUAUGGAGAAGUAGGAGUGGGAGUGGGACACAUCAAGAAAUAGGUGCAAGCAUUGUGAUAGCCUGAACACCACAUCUGUAACGCCCUCAUAUGUGCCAGUUUACUUAAAACCGACACCUAUGAAAGGUUUCUCACACAGAUGAUCCCUUUUGACGGGAUCAAAUUAAGAAUCGGCAUCUAACGCACUCAUUGGUGUUGAUUUAUAAUAAAAACUAAUACCAAUAGUCUCACCAAGUCAUAUGUGUGUCAGUUCUCCGAUAAUGCUUCCCAGUUUGUUACCGUGCAUGCAUGGCCACGUUCUUCUCUUUUUUUUCCCUUUUCGUUGUCACAAUUUAACAAAUGUAAAUGGUUUAUAGUAUGAUCAAAAUGUUGGAAUCGUUGUAGACCUCAUAUGGAGUUUUCUGACACUAAAUGCUUAUCUUGGCUCAGUGUAGUCUGCACUCAAUUACAAACCAUGUGCUGCAUCUUUUCUACUGCUUGACCUAAUAGAUGCAACCAAAUUAAUUCAGUGCUCACUCUUUAUAAGGAAGAAGAAAGGAGAUGCUUGCUUAGGAUUUCAGAAAAAAAAAAGAAAUCAGCUUACUUGAGGGAAGGAAGAGAUGGAAAUUUUGUGCAUAUAUAUGUUGGCUUAAUAGCUAGUGUGCACCUUCCAAGCUUAUUUUUUGUGAUACCUAAAAAUUGGAUUAACUUGCAAUGAGAAAGAGAACUGAUAGACAUACAGGACUAGGACUGGGACACAUCAAGAAAUGCAGAGGUGCCACAUUAACAUUGUAUCCUAGGUUGGUUUUCUCUUCCUCCCUUAGUCUGGAAGUGGAGGAGCUCUUAUGAGUGUAGCUUAUGGUAUUGGGCUGGAGCUUCUGUACAUGAUGUACUGCAUGAGCUCUUUCUUCAGUCGCUCGCCCUAGAUGCUUAAUCUAGUUGGUAAUGUGCUGAUCAUAGUGGUCUAGUUCUACUGGUCUGGCGUGUUUGUAGAAGUGUUAUGGUUGUUUUUUUAGAGGUUUCUUUGAGUUUGACCUUUCCUCUUUACUUUCUCUUAUUUUCUUAACGAAAUGAAGCUUAACUUUACUGUGUGUUUGAGGGAAAAAAACAGACGUUAAGAGGCUCUCAUGAUCUGAUAUAA